This 458-nucleotide ribosomal RNA is filed under the name uncultured bacterium. RNAcentral describes it as "partial 16S ribosomal RNA". It matches the Rfam family "Bacterial small subunit ribosomal RNA", at positions 338 to 795 of the family's 1533-position model. The record is from RNAcentral.
CCUACUGGAGGCAGCCGUGGGGAAUAUUGCACAAUGGGGGAAACCCUGAUGCAGCGACGCCGCGUGAGUGAAGAAGUCUCUCGGUACGUAAACCUCUUUUGUCAGGGAGCAAGGUGCCGGUCGGGACCUGCUGUGAGAGUACCUGAAGAAAAAGCAUCGGCUAACUCCGUGCCAGCAGCCGCGGUAAUACGGAGGAUGCGAGCGUUAUCCGGAUUUAUUGGGUUUAAAGGGUGCGCAGGCGGAGGCACAAGUCAGCGGUAAAAUCGCGGGGAUCAACCCCGCUCCGCCGUUGAAACUGUGUCCCUUGAGUGCGCGAAGGGUAGGCGGAAGGCGUGGUGUAGCGGUGAAAUGCAUAGAUAUCACGCAGAACUCAGAUCGCGAAGGCAGCCUACCGGCGCGCAACUGACGCUCAUGCACGAAAGCGUGGGUAUCGAACAGGAUUAGAUACCCGAGUAGUC